This 440-nucleotide ribosomal RNA is filed under the name uncultured bacterium. Its description in RNAcentral is "partial 16S ribosomal RNA". It matches the Rfam family "Bacterial small subunit ribosomal RNA", at positions 338 to 795 of the family's 1533-position model. The record is from RNAcentral.
CCUACGGGUGGCAGCAGUAGGGAAUAUUGCUCAAUGGGGGAAACCCUGAAGCAGCAACGCCGCGUGGAGGAUGAAGGUUUUCGGAUUGUAAACUCCUUUUGUUAGAGAAGAUACUGACGGUAUCUAACGAAUAAGCACCGGCUAACUCCGUGCCAGCAGCCGCGGUAAUACGGAGGGUGCAAGCGUUACUCGGAAUCACUGGGCGUAAAGAGCGCGUAGGCGGGAUAGCAAGUCAGAUGUGAAAUCCUAGGGCUUAACCAUAGAACUGCAUUUGAAACUGUUAUUCUAGAGUAUGGGAGAGGUAGGUGGAAUUCUUGGUGUAGGGGUAAAAUCCGUAGAGAUCAAGAGGAAUACUCAUGGCGAAGGCGACCUGCUAGAACAUAACUGACGCUGAGGCGCGAAAGCGUGGGGAGCAAACAGGAUUAGAUACCCCGGUAGUC